RNAcentral lists this long non-coding RNA (1634 nucleotides) under Homo sapiens (human). RNAcentral's name for it is "non-protein coding lnc-TUBA3C-5:1". The record is from RNAcentral. Lineage: Eukaryota; Metazoa; Chordata; Mammalia; Primates; Hominidae.
GAGCUGCACACCAUCUUCCCAUGGCUGGUAGAGAGCAUUUUCAGCAGCCUAGAUGGUGUCCUCAUUGGCUGGAACCUCUGCUGUUUACAGGGGCACGUGGAUCCUGUGGAGUACAGCAUCGUGAUGGAGUUUCUCAAUCCUGGUGGCCCAAUAAUGAAGUUGGUUUAUAAGCUUCAAGCUGAAGACUAUAAGUUUGACUUUCCCAUCUCCUUCCUGCCUUCCUGUGAAGGCGUCCAUCCAGGACUGCAUCCUCCCUGACAGUCCCCUGUACCACAACAAGGUCCAGUUCCCCCUCACUGGGGACCUUGGCCUGAAUCUAGUCCUGAAUCUGUUGGAGUAUUACAUAUUCUCCUUUGCCUUGAGCCUCAUCACUCAAAAGCCACUCCCUGUGUCCCUCCACGUCUGCACUUCAGAUGUGCCUACUUCAUCUUGGUGCACAGGUACCUGUUAUGGUUCCUGCCCACUGAAGGCAAUGUGCCCCCCACACUCUUCUCCAGCCCAGGGAAGCCAGACGCUCACCAGCUCCCAGGACACCAGCCAUGCCCUUUGCUUCCUACAGCCUCCACCACACUAGCCUCCUGCAGCAAAACAUCUCUCAUCAGACCUCUGUGAAUGCAGACCCCACCUCUCACGAGAUCUGGAGGUCAGAAACUCUGCUCCAGGUUUUUGUUGAAAUGUGGCUUCACCAGUAUUCCUUGGGGAUGUGACAAAAAAUGCAGUCCCCUCACGACAAGCAGUGGUUCAGGCCCACUGGGGAGCACGUGCUGGUGGUGUGCCUGCUGCUGAAGCACCUGCAGGCAUUUGCCAACAGCCUGAAGCCUGAGCAGGCCUCGCUCUCCUCCCACUCCCACUCCACCAGCCGCCUGGAGGAGUUGAAAUGGGCCACUGUCCCAAGAUUCGUCCAGCAGAAACUCUACCUCUUCCUGCAGCGUUACUUUGGCCACUGCCCACUGGCCGCAUCGUUCAGAGCUGUCCUGGAAAUGUGGCUGAGCUACCUGCAGCCAUGGCGGUAUGUGCCUGACAAGCAGGCUCCAGGCAGCGACUCCCAGUCCCGGUGUGCAUUGGAGAAAUGACCAGUGUGUGGAGAGCCCCCUGGCUGCUCCUUCCUGUUGUGGCUGGGCUUUGGCCCCCAUGAAUACCAACGGCUCCUACUCAGCCAACGACCUGGACAAGAUGGGGCGGGACAGUGUCCAGAAGACAGACAAGUACCUGGAGGCGGCCCUGGAGUACCUGCACCAGAUAUUCCCGUGAAGCACAGCUCACACAAUUCACACUUGCCUUGGGCACCACCCAGGAUGAGAAUGAAAAGCAGCAGCUCCUCGACUGCACCGUGGGUGAGGAUGGACUCAUCCUCAUGCCGCUGGGUCAGUACCAGAUCAUCAAUGCACUGUGAAGGUUUGACAUUGAGUACCAGGGGACCCAGAGCUGCAGUCCAUCUGGAGCUACGAGAUUGCCAGCUUGAUCUGUGUGCUCUUCCAGUGGUCGUCUGCCAUCAACCACAGAGUGAGUGGGCAGGAGGUCAGCUCUGUGUUCCUGGGACGACUUCCUUGGCAGCUUCUGUCUCUUAUCAUUUCAUGAGCCUGUGCUGGCCAGCAGGCACCUGCUAAGCCUCAUGGGCAGAUGCAGGCAGCCGG